GUAGGUGGCAAGCGUUGUCCGGAAUUAUUGGGCGUAAAGCGCGCGCAGGUGGUUCUUUAAGUCUGAUGUGAAAGCCCCCGGCUCAACCGGGGAGGGUCAUUGGAAACUGGGGAACUUGAGUGCAGGAGAGGAAAGUGGAAUUCCACGUGUAGCGGUGAAAUGCGUAGAUAUGUGGAGGAACACCAGUGGCGAAGGCGACUUUCUGGCCUGUAACUGACACUGAGGCGCGAAAGCGUGGGGAGCAAACAGGGAUUAGAUACCCUGGUAGUCCACGCCGUAAACGAUGAGUGCUAAGUGUUGGGGGGGCUUCCGCCCCCACAGUGCUGCAGCUAACGCAUUAAGCACUCCGCCUGGGAGUACGGUCGCAAGACUG
RNAcentral lists this ribosomal RNA (373 nucleotides) under uncultured organism. Its description in RNAcentral is "partial 16S ribosomal RNA". It matches the Rfam family "Bacterial small subunit ribosomal RNA", at positions 527 to 896 of the family's 1533-position model. The record is from RNAcentral.